RNAcentral lists this ribosomal RNA (468 nucleotides) under uncultured bacterium. Its description in RNAcentral is "partial 16S ribosomal RNA". It matches the Rfam family "Bacterial small subunit ribosomal RNA", at positions 28 to 507 of the family's 1533-position model. The record is from RNAcentral.
GACGAACGCUGGCGGCGUGCUUAACACAUGCAAGUCGAACGGAAAGGCCCUGCUUUUGUGGGGUGCUCGAGUGGCGAACGGGUGAGUAACACGUGAGUAACCUGCCCUUGACUUUGGGAUAACUUCAGGAAACUGGGGCUAAUACCGGAUAGGAGCUCCUGCUGCAUGGUGGGGGUUGGAAAGUUUCGGCGGUUGGGGAUGGACUCGCGGCUUAUCAGCUUGUUGGUGGGGUAGUGGCUUACCAAGGCUUUGACGGGUAGCCGGCCUGAGAGGGUGACCGGGCACAUUGGGACUGAGGUACGGACCAGACUCCUACGGGAGGCAGCAGUGGGAAAUAUUGCACAAUGGGCGGAAGCCUGAUGCAGCGACGCCGUGUGCGUGAUGGCGGCCUUCGGGUUGUAAACCGCUUUCGCCUGUGACGAAGCGUGAGUGACGGUAAUGGGUAAAGAAGCACCGGCUAACUACGUG